UAAUUUAGGUCUGGCCUGCCCACUGAAAUAUUUAAAUGGCCGUGGUAUUUUGACCGUGCUAAGGUAGCAUAAUCAUUAGUUUUUUAAUUGAAAGCUGGAAUGAAGGGUUAGAUAAAAAAAUAACUGUCUCUAUUUAAUUUUAUUAGAAUUUUAUUUUUAAGUUAAAAAGCUUAAGUUAAAUUAAAAGACGAGAAGACCCUAUAGAGUUUUAUUAUAGUUUAUAUUUUUUAUUUUAGAAUUUAUUUAUUAAAUUUGAUUUAUAAUUUGAUUGGGGCGAUUAAAAAAUUUAUUUAACUUUUUUUGUAAUAUAACAUUGAUUUAUGAAUUAUUGAUCCAAUUUUUUUGAUUAUAAGAUAAAAUUACCUUAGGGAUAACAGCGUAAUUUUUUUAGAAAGUUCAUAUUGAAAAAAAAGAUUGCGACCUCGAUGUUGGAUUAAAAUUAAUUUUUGGUGUAGAAGCUAAAAUAUUAGGUCU
Molecule: ribosomal RNA, 474 nt
Filed under: Gonioctena occidentalis
Lineage: Eukaryota; Metazoa; Arthropoda; Insecta; Coleoptera; Chrysomelidae
Description: partial 16S ribosomal RNA
Source: RNAcentral